CAACGCGGGGCUCGGUGCUGACCUCGGUGCUGGCCCAGGGCUUCGGAUGUACUUAAUACCUUGUAGGAUAAGCUCACUGAUGAAAAUGAGCAGUUAGUCAAGAAGGUGAAAAAACUACAUAUAAAAAAUAAGGAGCUAGAAAAGAAUCUGGGUCAGAUUCAAGAUCAACUGCAUCUGCAGCAGUUAAUGCAUGUCUGUGGCACAAGCAGAGAUGUUCAAGUUCAGACAGAAACCCAUUUAUGGCAUAAGGGUGGAGGCAGCAAGGAUCUGGUUCUAGAGAGUGACAGUGUCAGACUACUUCAGAUGUUUAAUGAGCUACAGAAACGUUAUGUUAAAGAAACCAAAAUAAACAAGGAGCAAAGUGAAGCAAUUAAAAAUCUCACUAUUAAAAUUAAUGAGCUAGAGCAUAAUCUUCAAGAGCAAAAGCAAAAAAUUGAGAAACUGGAACAUAAAAAGGUUUCUUGGAAAACUAAUGCUGUUUCUGGAAAACGAAGUCAAACCCCAGAGGGAGGAGUAAUUUCUCACAGGGACAUUUCUGCAAAGGAGUCCUGUUGCAGUAGAUAUUUAGAGCUAUUGUUGAAGGAGAUUAAAAAGCUGAAGAAAGAAAAUGGAAAGUUGUCUGCAGAAAAGAGAGCACUAAAAAAUGAAUUAGCUGGAUUAGACAAGGAUUUUUUUGAAGAGGUGGAAGAUUUAAAACAUGCUGUACAGGAAUCUAUGAAACUGAACAAUGAGUAUGAAAAGUGCUUGAAACAAAUAAGUGUAAUAUAUGGACUUCCUUUUACAGCACAUUUGUAACUACCGGCUAAUUUAAUGCCAGGUAGAUUUUUCCACAUAUUUUUUAUACUUACUGCAACAUUUAAACCUACCAUUGCUUAAGUGGUAAAAACCACAGUUUGAUAAUAUAGAUUCAGUAAUGUGAUCUCAAUAUAACAAGUGCUUGGAAAUGUUGUAUUUUGUGACCUUGAUUUUUUUUUUUUUUGUUUAUAUAUUUUUAAAUAAACUGUGAUCUGCAUAACUUCA
Molecule: long non-coding RNA, 1020 nt
Filed under: Cyanistes caeruleus (blue tit)
Lineage: Eukaryota; Metazoa; Chordata; Aves; Passeriformes; Paridae
Description: lncRNA (ENSCCEG00000001636.1)
Source: RNAcentral